GGAGGCGUAGAGUAGUGGUUUCAACUCGCACAAACAAAGCUUGUGAGACGUUGGUUCGAUUUCAACCGCCUCCU
Phialocephala subalpina is the source of this 74-nucleotide non-coding RNA. The record is from the annotation of a GenBank genome assembly. NCBI's taxonomy places the organism in Eukaryota, Fungi, Ascomycota, Leotiomycetes, Helotiales, Mollisiaceae.